Molecule: ribosomal RNA, 855 nt
Filed under: uncultured Zetaproteobacteria bacterium
Lineage: Bacteria; Pseudomonadati; Pseudomonadota; Candidatius Mariprofundia
Description: bacterial SSU rRNA
Rfam family: Bacterial small subunit ribosomal RNA
Source: RNAcentral
CUGGCGGCGUGCCUAACACAUGCAAGUCGAACGGUAACAGGGACUUCGGUCCGCUGACGAGUGGCGCACGGGUGAGUAACGCGUGGAGUUACCUACCCAUCAGUGAGGAACAACCUGGAGAAAUCCAGGCUAAUACCGCAUACGACCUUCGGGUGAAAGAGGGGGAUCUUCGGACCUCUCGCUGAUGGAUGGUUCCGCGUCCGAUUAGUUAGUUGGUAAGGUAAUGGCUUACCAAGACGAUGAUCGGUAGCUGGUUUGAGAGGAUGAUCAGCCACACUGGAACUGAGACACGGUCCAGACUCCUACGGGAGGCAGCAGUGGGGAAUUUUGCACAAUGGGCGCAAGCCUGAUGCAGCGACGCCGCGUGCGGGAAGAAGGCCUUCGGGUUGUAAACCGCUUUCAACAGGGAAGAAGGAAUGAGGGUCAAUACCCCUCUGCCUUGACGGUACCUGUAGAAGAAGCCCCGGCUAAUUUCGUGCCAGCAGCCGCGGUAAUACGAAAGGGGCAAGCGUUGUUCGGAUUUACUGGGCGUAAAGAGAUCGUAGGUGGCUUGUUAAGUCGGAUGUGAAAUCCCGGGGCUCAACCCCGGAACUGCAUUCGAUACUGGCAGGCUUGAGUUCGGGAGGGGGAAGCGGAAUUCCGUGUGUAGCAGUGAAAUGCGUAGAUAUACGGAGGAACACCUGAGGCGAAGGCGGCUUCCUGGACCGAUACUGACACUGAGGAUCGAAAGCGUGGGUAGCAAACAGGAUUAGAUACCCUGGUAGUCCACGCCCUAAACGAUGUCUACUAGCCGUUGCGGGUAUCGACCCCUGCAGUGGCGCAGCUAACGCAAUAAGUAGACCGCCUGGGGAGUAC